GCAAAGUCUCCUAUCCUUUCUGGGCUCGGGAUCAACACAUCUAGUAGUCAGAAGGCUAUUUCCAUUUUCCUGCGUGCUCCAGGUGGGGAGGAUGGGGAGUUCUCUUAAAGUCUGAGAAGAGGAUGGCUCCUGCCAUGCCCAAGAUUCACAGAGCUCUUACGCAGCCUCUUUCUCAUCCAUCCGCCCAUCCUUGAUGCCUGCCUUAGAAACAGAGGACAUGACCCCUCGGCCUUGAGGACGGGAGAGACAGACUUCUACAAAAAAUGACAGCAUGUCGAGGAGGGACGGUCUGCAGGCACUGAGCCAAGCCAGUGCAGGAGAUGGAAAUGAUGUCCUCUGACACCAAAAGAGACAACUCACAUUUGACCCGGCUUUUCCCUGUCAAUCAAUGGGUGAAGCACAUUUUAACGAGAGGGGUAUCACUCUUGGAUGCUUUGAGUUGACAGCACCUCUGCUCUACCAACAAACCCGACACCUCGUCAACACCAAACCAAGCUCCUUAGAGUUUGCCCACGAGGAAUCACCUGGAGAACAUGGGGAUUUGGAUUCGCUAAGGACUCGGGAUUGUGACUGUUUGACAAGAGCCUCGGGUGCCCCAAGUGGACAGGACAGUUUGGGAAAUGCUGCCGCAGAAGUGUGGGAGGGAUGUGGCCACAGCUGGGAGGCUUUGGCAGGGCACCAGAGGCGGGGACUUCUUUGCGGGACUCCCAUGUUUACCAGGUGCCCUCUCUACAGCAGGAGAAUGCCUGCCCUUGGCCUUGACAUUGCUUUGGUGUUCAGUCUUGGGCAAGCUCCUUCCUGUCUAUAAUAUGGGAACACAUGGCUGAAGGCCGGGACACGUGGCAGACGCAAUGGAGGGAAGCACCCAUGGAAGGGGGAUGGUGGAGAAGCAGCCAGGCACGACGUGGUGUCCAUCUUGCAAGGGGG
Molecule: long non-coding RNA, 927 nt
Filed under: Felis catus (domestic cat)
Lineage: Eukaryota; Metazoa; Chordata; Mammalia; Carnivora; Felidae
Description: lncRNA (ENSFCAG00000050837.1)
Source: RNAcentral